Molecule: ribosomal RNA, 253 nt
Filed under: uncultured prokaryote
Description: partial 16S ribosomal RNA
Rfam family: Bacterial small subunit ribosomal RNA
Source: RNAcentral
UACAGAGGGGGCAAGCGUUGUUCGGAAUUACUGGGCGUAAAGGGCGCGUAGGCGGCCUUCUAAGUCGAACGUGAAAUCCCCGGGCUCAACCCGGGAACUGCGUCCGAUACUGGAAGGCUUGAAUUCGGGAGAGGGAUGCGGAAUUCCAGGUGUAGCGGUGAAAUGCGUAGAUAUCUGGAGGAACACCGGUGGCGAAAGCGGCUCACUGGAUCGAUACUGACGCUGAGGUGCGAAAGCUAGGGGAGCGAAUGGG